Non-coding RNA from Lathyrus oleraceus (garden pea), 2133 nucleotides. Lineage: Eukaryota; Viridiplantae; Streptophyta; Magnoliopsida; Fabales; Fabaceae. The record is from RefSeq and is a predicted model, not a curated record.
AAGAAAUCGUUAUUACUUUGUGUGAGCUUGAAAUGUUUUUUCCUCCAUCAUUUUUUGACAUAAUGGUACAUCUAGUUGUUCAUCUUGUGAAAGAGACACAAUUGUGUGGACCAGCUUAUAUGAGAUGGAUGUACCCUGUUGAACGUUAUAUGAAAAUAUUAAAAGGGUACGUGAAGAACCGAAGUCGACCAGAAGGUUGUAUGGUUGAAAGAUACAUUGUUGAAGAAGCGAUUGAGUUUUGUACUGAAUAUUUGUCUAAUGUUCAGUCAAUCAGACUCCCCAAGUCUCAGCUUGUCGAAAAGAAAGAAGGAAAAAAUCUAAUUGGAAAUAAAAUCGUGGCAGUAUCAAGGGUCGAACGGGAUCAAGUGCAUUUGUAUGUUCUGCACAAUGAGAAUGAGGUUGAGCCGUAUGUUGAAAUUCACAAGGAUGUUCUCCGAGGUUUAAAUCCCAAUAGAAAUGAAAAUUGGAUAGUACGAGAGCAUAAUCGAUGUUUUAUACCUUGGUUUAAGGAUCAUAUUUAUUCAAAGUAUUAUUCAGAUCCCGCUUCAAUAACAGAAAGGUUGAGAUGCUUAGCAUAUGGUCCAAGUUUCCAUGUUUUUUCUUAUAGCGCAUACGCGAUUAAUGGAUACACAUUUUAUACCAAAGAACAAGAUGAUAAAAGUACUAUGCAGAAUAGUGGUGUCACCGUGGUAGCUGAAGCAAUGCACAUAUCAAGUGUGAAGGACUUAAACCCCAAAUUUGCAAAUCUGUCGUAUUUUGGUGUUAUCGAGCGCAUUUGGGUGUUUGAUUAUGAGAAGUUUCAGAUUCCUAUAUUUGGUUGCAAGUGGGUUGAAAAUAAUAACGGCAUUCGAAUGGAUAAGUCAGGAUUUUUGCAAGUGGAUCUUAAUAGGGUGGGAUACAAAGAUGAGUCUUUUAUUCUAGCCUCUCAAGCUAGACAAGUGUUCUAUGUCAAUGAUCCGAAAAGUACGAAAUGGUCUAUAGUUCUUUUUUCCAACAAAGUAAUUGAUGAAAACACUGGAGAUCAAGGUGAUAUUGAUGUUGAGAUUGAAUCGUUUACCAGAAAUGAUCAAGAUGAGAAUAUUAUAUCAAAUGAUUCAUAUAUUAGAAAUGAUCAUAAUGAGGGUAUUUGGAUCAAUCCAACCGUCCGUGUUGUUAAGAGACAUGUAGAACAUAUUCCAACCAAGAAAAUAAAGAGAACUUAGUGAAAAAGGUACAGGUCAAAUGAUUUUAAUUGUUUUCUUUAUUACAGGUAAAAUGACUUUUAUGAUUUUAAUUGUUUUUACAUUUGUCAUCUGAUUUUAAUUGUUUUCUUUUUUACAGGUAAAAUGAUGAUGCUGGAUAUUUGUUUAGAUGGAGAUGCUCUAUUGUCGUCAAGCCUCAUUCGCGUAGAUGAUGAUGCUGGAUAUUUGAAAGUAUCCCUCUACGACAAUGGAACAUGUCCAUCUAAACAUAUAUCAAUUCUAUCUUCAAAAGAUAAGGGUUCAAUGUUGGCAAGUUACAUUGAUUUCCUUGUUCGACAACAUAUUCCGAUUACAUGUGAUAAUUGGAGAAGUCCGGACUUGAAGGUUGGCAAAGAAAAAAUAUGGUCGGAGAUACAGGCUUGUGUCUCAAUAGAGGAUGGGUAUCUACCUAAAGUUGCUUUUGUAGUGGUCCAAAAGAGACAUCACACCCGUCUCUUUCCUGUCAACCCCAAAGAGACCGAUAGAAGUGGAAAUAUUAUGCCAGGAACCGUGGUAGACACCAGCAUUUGUCACCCUAGGGAAUUUGAUUUUUACCUUAACAGCCAUGCAGGAAUUCAGGGGACUACUUAUGCUGCCAUCUGUUGUUUUGGUUGAGCCUUAUUUUGUAUGGAUGUGCGAUAGAACUACUAGACAGCUUUUGGAUAUACAGAACAUGUUUGCCACCAUGGGUGGAUGGGCGUUUUUGUUUAGUAUUGGUUAGAACUACUAGACAGCUUUUGGAUACAGUGGUCACUGGGUGUUGGUUGCUAUGUUUUAUUCUCUUAAUUGUAGUACUUUGAGAAUAUGUUGUUGUAUAUUGUUGAUCAAAGAAUCAUAUAUUAAUGUUGUAUAUAUGGAGGAUUAAUGUUGUAUAUAAAUGGAUUAAUGUUGUAUAUAUCAAUGGAUUAAUGGU